Molecule: non-coding RNA, 122 nt
Organism: Gossypium hirsutum (cotton)
Lineage: Eukaryota; Viridiplantae; Streptophyta; Magnoliopsida; Malvales; Malvaceae
Source: Rfam
UAUUAAAAAUUUCAUCCAUUUCUACAGUUAAAAACUGACAUAACUGAAAAAAUAACCAAACAGCCUCAUGCUGACGUAAAGAGACCAGUUUUUAAGAGCAAAAAUGAAUGGAAUUUUUAACA